CACACACAGACACUCUUCCCCCCCCCCCGGCCUGGCCGGGGGAUGCGCCGCUGGGCAACGGGCGGCGCCCCGAAAAGCAGGGGCUGCGGCGGGGGGGGGGGGGGGGCUGCCUGCGGCGAGGGGGGGGCCUGGGCGGGCUCUCGCUGCGCCCGUCCCUCCUUUGCAUCUGCGGGGGGCACGGAUUCCUUUACUGGGUCUGUGGUCAGGGUGCCAGUACUUCAAAUCAAAAGCAAAAGCAAAAAAAAAAAAAAAAAAAGCAGUGCCGUUACGUGUUUAGAAACGUGGUGGGUCCUGUGUUAUGCUCUCCCUAGUCAACAUGAAAAAAAAAAACAAAACAAAAACAAAAUCAGAUUCAUCUGAUUUAACUAAUUUAGCAGAAGACUGGGUAAAGGGAAGGGAAAGGAACUCGCAACACUCUUCGCUGCAUGAAGUAAUGCGCUGAAGAGCAAAGGAGGGAUCAUCUCGCGCUCUGGAAAUCGGCUGCCCUAAAGAGAGGGAAGUGAGCGCCCUGAAGCCGCGCAGCAAGUUUCUCGGCUGACAGUACAGUGUGAUCAACAUGUAGCCCACGCUGUCAUAUGAAGGACGCCUGAUGCCCAAAAUCUAAAAAUACACAUAUUGCACAUCGUGUGGUCUCUCCAGAGGGACUUUCUAAUAGUAAAAUCCAAAGUGUCAAGUGCUUUACCUUACUUCACCAUGUGAUGAUGUGAAUUCUUAGACGGGAACUUCCCCAAAACUGCUGGAAAUCAAGUACAAACUUAACCUGUCAGUUCUGCAAAUGUAUUUGCUAUUCUCAAAACAAUUUUCAUGAUGACUAACAACUAAGAACACUUAAACCCUACCAUGAUACAGAGUAGGUUUAUCAUAACACAGACUGUGUAUUUUUUUCCUCAUGUACUCUGCUUGUUUUCUGUGGAGUGGGGUAAGGAUUUUUCACUUUUAGAUCUUGAAAGCACUGUCUUGAAAACAUCCUUCAGUUCUUCCAUGUUGUUGUUGUUGUAAUUAUUAUUAUUUUCUUACUGUGUAAGCUAUGUUAUGCAAUCAUUUUAAAAAAUAUUUUGCCUUUUAAACUUACUGCUCAGCAGAGCUCUGUCAUCCUUUCUCAGCGGAUUUCUCUUUAUGGUCAUAUUACUGAGCAGAUUAAAAAAAAAUACUACUUUUAGGAUCAAUAA
Long non-coding RNA from Tyto alba (common barn owl), 1169 nucleotides. RefSeq lists it as uncharacterized. The record is from RefSeq and is a predicted model, not a curated record. The transcript has 2 exons. NCBI's taxonomy places the organism in Eukaryota, Metazoa, Chordata, Aves, Strigiformes, Tytonidae.